UACGUAGGGUGCAAGCGUUGUCCGGAAUUAUUGGGCGUAAAGAGCUCGUAGGCGGUUUGUCGCGUCGAAUGUGAAAACCCGGGGCUCAACCCCGGGCCUGCAUUCGAUACGGGCAGACUAGAGUUCGGUAGGGGAGUCUGGAAUUCCUGGUGUAGCGGUGAAAUGCGCAGAUAUCAGGAGGAACACCUGUGGUGUAGACGGCUCUCUGGACCGCAACUGACGCUGAGACACGAAAGCGUGGGUAGCAAACGGG
This 253-nucleotide ribosomal RNA is filed under the name uncultured bacterium. Its description in RNAcentral is "partial 16S ribosomal RNA". It matches the Rfam family "Bacterial small subunit ribosomal RNA", at positions 524 to 776 of the family's 1533-position model. The record is from RNAcentral.